Long non-coding RNA from Ictalurus punctatus (channel catfish), 1925 nucleotides. Lineage: Eukaryota; Metazoa; Chordata; Actinopteri; Siluriformes; Ictaluridae. The record is from Ensembl.
GCUCUGUGCUGACUACUGUGGUGAGCACAGCCUCUGAACCAGGGGGGUCGACACUCAACUUCUGUGGCUCCCUCACACUAGUGCAGGCCCAGGCUCCACUUGUGGAUGCCUGGGCAAACUCGAUAUGACUGGGAAGGAAUGCACUUCUGGAAAAAAGAGGAAUUUUUGUGUGAGAGAGAUUUAUUUCCACUGGGGAGAAAGCGUGCAUCCAGCCUGCUACGAGCCACUUCCUCUUCCACAGACCCAUCUAGAUUUAGUUUUUCAACUGCCUUAGUGAUCACUUCAAGCAGCUCUUUAUAUGCUUUAUACCAUUUUUGGUGCAGUGGCACCUCCUCGGAGUCAGAGAGGGUAUUAUUAUUUAUUUUUUUUCUUUCGCUUUCCAUAGCAGACAGCCGGACCCAGAAGACGGAGCAAGAGAUAAAGCAGUGCUCGUCUCCGGCUCCUCUUCAAGAUCCAUACAUAUGAGAUCCCCAGGAUCUGCGAGGCUCUGAAACCCAACUCCCUUUGGCCAAGAAGAGAGCGAGCCAUGAGCUGAGCUACCGGAAGCCUUGUUUAUACUCGACGCGUCCACAAUAGUGCAAGGAUGCGCGCAGCAAAAAUGACGUCAUCACGGAGUGCACGGUUGAGCGUGUUGAGUGCACUAGACCUCAAUUCGCGUGGUGGUGUGCACAGCAUUUUUGUACAUCUCUGCUCAGCUCCGCAUCCGAAGAUGUUUCAUUUAUACUUUCGCCUGACUCCGCAAUCCGAGCUUCCACUGACUGCGCACACACCUCCCCAAAUGAAUGAGGCGUUUAUACUUGACGUGUUCGCCGUUGUAAUAUUCUUUUAAAUGAAAGGGGGCAAUUCAGAGUAAUUAUCCUAUAAACCAACAGGAAGUAGUUAAGAGAAUAAGCAGAAGUCGCAACAACCAUAGCAACGCUUACAAACAUGGAGUUCCACUUGUAGUUGCUGAAGGCUGAGGAGGAAUUGUUGUUGACGAUGUUUGUUUUCAGUAAACUUCACUAAAAUUCACAGUGUGAGAAAAAAGAGCAAAGAGUCAUCUAAGAAUCAUAUAAAACCCAGUAAACCUUGAGAUUAUCACUUGUCACAUUACAACAAGUUAUAUAAAUAUGAGAAAAAUGUAUAAAACUAAAUCGAAAAACCUCAAUUUAUUUUCUAUUUUUAUUUAUUUCAUUAGCAUUUUUAUUAAACAUGGACAUUUACUUUCAUUAAAUAGACUUAUUAUUUAUUGUAGGCUCAUUUUCUAUAUGUUAGCAAUUACGUAAGCAAAAAGUGAGUGCUUCCUGCAAAUGUCAUUUCUCAUAUUACAAAAUCAGGUGAUAAUAUUCACCCAUCAAUGACGAUGGCUCUUUAUGUAAAAGACAAAAGUAAGUUAUGCCCUGGCACGCUCCACCGUAGACACAGUGGCGGAGCCACAUUUUAUUCACUACUGUCAGUUGCUGACGCAGAUUGACACGUCAUUUCUUCUCUUGUCGAAAGAACGGUUUGUUUUUUUUCGUAAUCAAGGACAAGCCGAGGAUGAGAAUACGAAUGCAAGAUACCGUAAAAUAAGAAAACAUUAUAUUUGAAGUAAGUUUUAAGCUUAAGCAUCAGGUUUGUUUGCCGAAUAACUUUUAUGAGACCUGUAUUAUUUGGACAGCACAUAUAAAUGAGGCGAUAUAAGCAUGGGACCAUUUAGUUCCUUUUAUUAAACAACACCCUUUAACAACGUCUGUGCUCCCACAGCUUCAUCUCUGUAUCUCUGCCGAUUCACCACCACACUAUCCCCAUUAGCUACGUAUAUCACUAACAGUAUAUACCAAGGGUGGGCAAUCUUAUCUGGAAGGGUCGGUGUGGGUUGCCCACCCCUGGCAUAUACGGUACUCUCUGUAUUACCAGGGCUAGCAAUGAUCAAACUGCUAACUUAGACUGGUAGGUGAUUUAAA